GCAUCCAUGGCUGAGUGGUUAAAGCACCCAACUCAUAAUUGGAGACUUCGCAGGUUCAAAUCCUGCUGGAUGCA
RNAcentral lists this transfer RNA (74 nucleotides) under Entransia fimbriata. RNAcentral's name for it is "tRNA-Ile". It matches the Rfam family "tRNA". Rfam says of the family: Transfer RNA (tRNA) molecules are approximately 80 nucleotides in length. Their secondary structure includes four short double-helical elements and three loops (D, anti-codon, and T loops). The record is from RNAcentral. Lineage: Eukaryota; Viridiplantae; Streptophyta; Klebsormidiophyceae; Entransiales; Entransiaceae.